GAGGCUUCAAGUGGAUCAAUUGUAGAGGUCAGACAUCCUAUGGGGCUAUGAGCAAUCUGAAAGAUCUCGAGUCCAUAAGCCUCAGAUGCAAUGAUCUACUACCUACGCUCAAGUAUCGAGUUCUGAACUCGAUGAUCUUGUAGAUUAGAUCUGCAGCGUAUAUGAUGCAAUCAUACAUGCAGAUUUUAUUUUUUCAGAUAAUAUUCUUGCAUAAUAUCAUGUCAU
RNAcentral lists this long non-coding RNA (225 nucleotides) under Elaeis guineensis (African oil palm). RNAcentral's name for it is "long non-coding RNA (EGUI_LNC044463)". Lineage: Eukaryota; Viridiplantae; Streptophyta; Magnoliopsida; Arecales; Arecaceae. The record is from RNAcentral.